UACGUAGGGGGCAAGCGUUGUCCGGAAUCAUUGGGCGUAAAGAGCGUGUAGGCGGCUCGGUAAGUCCGCUGUGAAAGUCCAGGGCUCAACCCUGGAAUGCCGGUGGAAACUGUCGAGCUAGAGUCCGGAAGAGGCGAGUGGAAUUCCUGGUGUAGCGGUGAAAUGCGCAGAUAUCGGGAAGAACACCCGUGGCGAAGGCGGCACUCUGGGACGGUACUGACGCUGAGACGCGAAAGCGUGGGGAGCGAACAGG
Molecule: ribosomal RNA, 253 nt
Filed under: uncultured bacterium
Lineage: Bacteria
Description: partial 16S ribosomal RNA
Rfam family: Bacterial small subunit ribosomal RNA
Source: RNAcentral